GUUGGGGUAGUCUAAAUAGAUAUUUGAUUUCGACUCAAAAGAACUUCUCAUAAGUCCCAAUA
Molecule: transfer RNA, 62 nt
Filed under: Causus defilippii (snouted night adder)
Lineage: Eukaryota; Metazoa; Chordata; Lepidosauria; Squamata; Viperidae
Description: tRNA-Arg
Source: RNAcentral